UCCUCCCUCGGUCUAACGUUGACAUCGCGUUCGCUUCCUCUCUCAGUCUCUCCCUUAUCUCUCGCUAUUCGUCCCCGAGGAUCUCGCGUUACCGUUAAAAGUUCGGUUCGUUAGCCGGUAUUGUUUUCCCGCGGCGGGAAUCGCUCCUGUGGGAUACGUUCGCCCGAGCCUUCUCGUCGGGCAUCCUAACCUCUCCUUUACAUCCUCGAUUCUAUCUGACUUCCACCCACGUCUCUCCUACAGUGACUUCCACCUUCCAAUCUUUUAUACCGCUGCACUCUUUCUCUCCGAAUCCUUCCACCUCCUAUAACCUCGACGCAGUCGGUAUCCCGUGCUGUUCCUCAGAAUUUCUAUUGACAUCGGCAGUGACAUCGUUGUCAGAUUUAUUUGAACGCCUCGGACAGGAAAGUGGAUCCUUCCCGGUAGUGAUCGUCGUGUCCUGGAAACAAAUUCGAGAACCCGUGUAUCCACCACAAUGCUUCCGUGUCUCGUAGUGAGUGGUCGAGUGGAUCUAGAAGAAUUCCCGUGCUGGCCAAGUGAUGAUAACCAAGAAAAAAAGAGACGUUGACGUGGAGCCACGUCACGGCGCUUCCCUGAACUAUUAAACAGACGUAUUCAUGAGCAUUGUGAAGCCUCGGUAUGUCGGAAGGGAACCCCUUUAAGAUAAUUUCAUUAAAGUACGUCUUAGCUGGAACACACUGUACGUCAUAUGACUGAUAAACGUGCAGCUGACUAAUGAAUUAUCCAGUAUGGACCAUCGAUUUUCUGUCUCGAUAAUAUUCGAGAUACGAGUCCUUGACGAAGGACAGAUAAUACAGUUGAAUCUACAAAAGAGAAAGCUGUCGUUGCAUUGUAUCUUACGAAAUAGUACUGGGCCUUCGGUACUUUUCAGCUAAGGAUCCUCUCGUGCUCCACAUGAAAGCAUACUGAAUACGUGUAGCAAUAGAUGGGCUAAACAGACGAGGAACUGACGAGAAGGGUCCUCGUGAAUGAGAUCGAAGGUUGGAUGCUGUACGUGGACCACUGUAUAGGAAGUGGAAGGAGUGUAUAAGAGCGACUGUGAGAUAGUUAAGAAAAGGGAUGGAAUGAAGGAAAAGGAGAUGAGAUCACGAUCCGUGCCAAAGCAAAGGUCGAGCCGUACAGCAAGCAUGACUGCACGAUAUAGCGUAUAGUCUGGAACGGCAACGUUAUUAGGAGUAGGAAGCGCCUCUGUGACAAAUGGCGCGGCUUCAUUGUUGCGCCAGAACCCCCAGGUCCGAAGCCCCGUCGUAAAUCUGCGAGUGACCGACAGAAGUCCGACAGGCCCAGGGUGUAAGGUACGACCAGCGGUGGAGGACUUGUGGAAGAGGGAUGUCGAAGAAAAGGGGAUGAUGUUGCUGUUGCCUGGAUCAGUGCUGGGAAAUAGAACUGUAGAAUGCGUUCGAGCUGCAGAUACAUGCCUACGUCACGAGCGCCAUCCACGAUAAAAGGCCCAGUUUGCGAGAGAUGGAAAAUCUCAAGAUUUAUACCGAUCAGAAUGUUUUGCCAGGAGCGUCAACACCAACGUGGAGGAAUCUCUUGGCGUUAAGCUCUAGGAAAGGAUACGUUUAAUAUCUGCUGCCGUUUUAUAUCGUGGAUGGAACUUACAGAAUUCGCCGCCAGAUGGAAGCCUAUCUCGCGCGUGAAAAUUCUUCGAGCCAGAUAGAAUGGCGAGGACGGUGUGCACCUUGCAGGAGAUUGCGCCGGUUUUAAAUCGGACCCGGUGAGCGGGCUCCGGUUCGGCUGGUUAUACGAUAUCAUAAAAGGAAUCACGUGAGAGCGAACGGAACGGACGGAAGGACGGACUGCCGCACGGACUUACGGACGGACCGAUCAGGUUUGGGCAGCUGUCUGCAACCACGUCACUCAAGUUCACUGUUGGGUUCGCAGUGGAAUGAAUGCCUUUCAUUAUGAACGUUAUCUUCUGCCUGAUCGCCAACCCUUUCUCUUCUUGGUAAGGAUGUAUGCGCACUCGAGACACGAAUAUUAUCGUCCAACGACCACGCUCCUACCUGGACUACGAGGAUUUAUUGUACCGGCAUCGUCAAGAAAAAGAAAUACCUCUCUGCCAUACCGACCGAGGGACAAUGAAAGUCGAACUUACGGGACCGUUACUUUGUUUCCUGAACUUCGUAGCGUCUCGAGUGGCAUUACGAAGGUGAGAAGUAAAAGGUCCAUAUGACAUAUAAUAGCACGCCAAAAAAAAAGAAGAACUAACAGCUAAGAGAAGUCAAUCGAGUGUAACUCUUGAUUAAAAUAGACGAGAGAAGGACAGGCGAAUAGCAGGGGAAAAAAGCUGUCAGAUUGAAUUACGAAAGAUAUGUCACUAAAAGUUCUGUCUAAUUAUCCAGAGUCAUUUAUCCAUCGAGCGAUCGGUGUGACGUCACAUAAUCAGUAAACGAACAAAGAAACGUCCAGUUUCCUACAAUCAAUUCCGUCUCCCAUUUCCUGAAACGGAUCCCGAUCGCACAUGGAUACGGGGAACAGGAGGAGUAAAAGCUUGCGACAAACGGCAUCGCUGCCAUUCCGGUGUCGCCCCGACACCGUGCAGGGCGGACAUUUUGACGUGGGCUUCCUAAUGAUUAAAACUGCAGAAAAAGGAAGCGCUAAAAUAACCGCUGAAUGCUGAUGCGCUACUUGAUCGACGUAAACUGCCAGAACGUCUAGCGUCCCGACGCUGUCCUCAGCGUCCUCCUACGUUACUUGCUCGGCACAUUAUGUACCCAGCAAUCGGGUAUUCAGCGUCCAUUGUUCGGUCCGGCAUUAUGGACAUACGGCUUCUAAUAUACAGACAGCGGUACGCGUGUCUAUCUUCUCCACAUAUGUUAGCACGUGUGUACGUAUACACGUAGAUGACAGCCAGAGCAGUAGAAUUGAAAUUGCGAUGGAGUUUGGGGAAUAUGGAGAAUCCACCAGAAACGGUACACACCACGUGGUCGUAUUUAUUCGUAUCUAGGGAUGACAAGGGGUUGAUGCUCUUGCACUGAAUCCCCCCAGUAGAUAUCUUUCGCGUUCUCAUUAUAACCGCGUUCGGUACCGGCGAUCGUGGCGCCGCCCCUCGGCCGCUGUCGUAAACUCAAUUGGUUUCGUUGACGUUUCUUCGUCGCACUGGCUGUGGUCACGCAAUUGACUUUGAAUCAUCUGUCCACGUGUAACAUUGAACGCAAUUACAGUCAAUUUAACGCGUGUGGCCGUGCCUUCGAAUUGGAAUUGUACUCUAUACAUACUAGACAUAGGGUAUUGGCGCGUGUCGAUCGAUGCGCCACCAACGGUCACUCUGGCAAUUACUGUCCCACGUCCCAAGAGAUCGGCUGUCGUGAAGUCUCAAUUUUCAAACUGGCAUGCUCGCGUGAGAAAUCCAAAAAAAAGUACUAGGACAACAUGGCGUAAAAUUGUUGGACAAUCAAUACUACACGUUUAUUAUUAUCAAGUUGUGCAGCCUGCACGUAGCGGCCUUUGCCAUAACACAACUUUCCAAGAGCCGACCCCGUACCAGUCGACGAGGACGACGCUGGGCGUCGACUGCUACCUACCGACGCCGACGUCCCUCGUCGCGACUACUUCACGCCGUUACUAAUACCGACGCACUAUAUAGGUAUAGCGACCUACGUUUUACACGCACACGAUAUUCCAUCCCUUUACACGUACAGCGUCGCGACGCCGUACCGUCUCAUCUUACCGGACUGUAACUGUGUUCGCUUAGUUCGACUUUACGAACUUUGGCUUAUGAGAAUUAACGUUUAGUGUUUACCUAACCGCAGCCCCACGUGCAUCGGCCUUAUGGCAGACAACGUACGGCGGACGGUUCGUUCGCUGUGGCCUUUUUCUUGGCUGUGUAGGGAUUUCCCUUCUUUUUUUUUAUCCUCCUUUUUUGUCUUAUUUAUCAGAACAAUGCUUGCGGGUCGUAUCGAACAUUCUAGAAAGACUUUCUUCAAUGUCCGAAGAUACGGAGGAUUGUUCCAAGAGGCUGCUAAUAAAUUUUUCCUGUUUUUAGUUUCAAUCUUGUUCCUCGGCUAACGAGGAAAUAUUUAUCGUCGUGACGAAACGAUACUGAAGAGAUACGAGCAUUUUUUGAGGUUAGGACCAGCGUUAACGGAUGAACGUUACUUUGACGUUUUAUAGCCACGUUAAAAUUAUAUACGUACCUACGGGAGCCAUUGUAAAAAAAAAAAAGAGAAAAAAAAAAUUUGGCAGAAAAUCAAAAAUGUAUUUUUCUCUUGCCAAUUUGAAAAAAAAAAAUAUUUAUCAAUCCGCAAAAUAGUCACGAGGCUAUUUACAGUGAGAAUAAAAAUUAACCAACGAAUAAUAAAGUUCUCAACAUAUGUCAUCCUCCCGUUCGGUCGAUCGUAUACAGAUAUACGUCGUGCGUGCGAUUUACAAAAAUGGCAAAUCCAUCGCGAAUAAACGUCAAUGACUAUCGAUGAUCCACGUCUUUCCCUGGCCGGUGGUCUCGUCCAAUAAAUGCGCGGUUUUCGGGUAGGCGAAGACGCCGGAUCCGGCUUUCCAAUAAAUAACAAGAUAAUCUCCAGAGAAAUCAAACGAGUUAUGCCCACCAUAAAGGUUGACCCACACGCAGAGACGCAGAAAGGCAGCCCAAGGUAUACAGUUGGGUAAAGCUAUGUAGGCAUUCCGUACAGGAUGAUAUACCGAUGAUUAUCGAGCAUUCCUGAUUUCCGUGUAGAAGCAUAGAAAGACAGGACCAAGAAGUCGCUCACGCAGAUCUUCCAUACCGAUUCCGAGUCGACCCCGUCCGCCUUUGCUUCCAUACGAAAAAUGUUGGACCUCGAUCAUACGUAAAAAAAACUUGUACUCGACGAACCUUGAAGAAAAAAAAAAAUAUAUCAGCCUCCCUAAAAUUCGUUAUUCAAUGCGAGAUCGUCGUCAUCGCUUUGUCGCAAGAUUGAUUUUCAUCGAUCGUAUAAAACGCCAGCGACGAAGAUCAUUCUGGUCCGAUGCAUCGGAUGUGUCGGGUUACCUGUCCUCGGCUGGAUCUUAAAAUCCACUACGGUACCCCGUACCCAUACGGGAUCUAGUCCCUAUAGUCGAUGACCCGAAAGAAGACAUCGCUGACGGUAUACACGUAAAUUGAGUAUACAGGGUCUGGAAGGCGCGAGAGUUCCCGGACGUGACGUCAUACCAGUGACGUCAAGAAGAGCAACGCACGUAGACGCGACCUUGCGCAAAAGUGACGAACCCACCCGCCGACGUGGCGCAACGCACAGCCGGUCUGAAGUCGGCCGACGCUUGGGAUACCGGCGUCGGAAGGUCUAUUUAUAGACGACGCCGGCAAAAACACGAGCGACGACGACCACGACGCCGGCGUCCUGGCCGGACGCGGGUGCGAAGUUAAGUGGCCUGAUCUGGUUCGCUAGUACGCGUGUACGUUAUAAGCGAAAACGACGCUCGGCGUCGCGUCCUACGAAGAAAGGCUACUGGCGACGCCGAGCGUCCCGACGCUGGGCAUACGACUAAUAAGAUGGGACAGUAUCGCGAGAUAAAACAAUUUUUUUCAAAAUUCGACCGCGAGACCGUCUAAAAUUUACUGUCGAUCAGGCGUCGUCGGCGUCCUGGGCGUCUGUCCGAAGGGACGUCGGAUCCGGUUCAACCGUUCGUAGUGAAAUAAUUUUUAAGAAAAAUUUCAAGAUAUCGGAUUAAAAAAAUAGUGCACUCAUUAAUUGAUUCUACACAGUGUUGAUAAUAUAAUAAAUUGUGAGAUCAAGAUACAAUAGUUAUAUGUAUAUAUUGGCAUCGAUCGGUACCGGGUGUUAAAAAAGUAAUAUGUGGAAAUUGAGAGCAAAGUGCUGGUAAUUAUUAGUGCGCGACUCGUAGGUAAAUAAUGAUAUAGGCAUAUGGAGAGUGGAUGAAGGUAGGAAGAGUGGGGAGAAUGAGGGGAAGGGAGGGGUGGAUCGGGUAAAAAUUGCGUUUCAUGCCAAACGUCGAUAAAGCGAUGGUUAAGUCCUGGUCGACUGCAGAGACGGAGGAUUGGUUUUCGCAAUGUAUGAUUAUACGACGUCCCGUGGGAGCGCGAGCGUCCCGGCGCCCGAACCAAGGUAGGAUACGAAGCGCUGGUUUAUUAGCCAUUGUUUUAUCUUCGCGCUCAAUUAGCGACUAUCAUUGGGUAAUAUAACGUGACGCGCUGCUGCUAUACAGCGAAAGGUGGAAGCAUCGACGGUGGAGGAGAUCAGCGGAAGAAAAAUAAAGCAGAAAAUAAUACGGGAGGAUCGACGGAAGGGUAGGACAAAAAGAAAACAAAGAAGGAAGGAAAGGAAAUGACGUAGAGCAAUGAGGCUUUACCGGCGCGAGGGACGAGCGUGCCUUUUAUUGGCUUUUCAGAACGUGCGAGUAAUUCGACGGGACAAUUGCGUGAUAAUUUUUGUCCUCCGUCCGCUUGGAAAGUGGAAUAAUCAAGCUGUGUGUUUUUUCGCGAGUGACACUUGGGAUAGUUUUAAUUUUUUAAUUUGAAUUUUUUUUCUAAUUCACUAAAACCCCAUGCGGGUUUUUCGACAUUUUCGUUAUUCCCGAUUACGUCAUCGGAUCCGAUCGGUGAAUCAGUGAAUACUUACAGAAUGACUCGGACGUCACUGACGAUCAGUGACAACGAGUUAGGAAUGAUUAAGAGUUUCUAAGUAAAUUCGAAAAAAAAAAAAUUUUUUUUCUUAUAUAAAAAACUUGGUAUCUAUCGCUACAGAUAGCUGAAUGAUACGGUUAAUCCUAUAGAUAAAAUCGUCAUUCAUACGUCAAGUGUCAAAUGACUUGGAUAUUAUCAACGAGAGUCAUCUAUAUACACAGGGAGAUAUAUAAAUCAUAUCUAUUCUUUGAAGAAACCUAUUCUCAUCCGGAUGAAGAGGUAUCCUUCUGUGUACGAAGCGUUAGAAGAGGAUGAGAGGUCAGUGGCAUCGUGGGCGUCGCGACGCUCACGUCCACGCGAGGUCGGUACGUACACGCCGGCCGAGUAGGCGUAAUGCGUCGAUAUGAUUGUUAGCUAUCAAAAACGAAACGGACACGCGGUGUAUACGAGAAAAGGUGAGGCCGAUGAAAAAUGAGAGAAGACCAGUGACAGACGUGAAUAAAGAUGGCGUACUGAGAUAUAACGAAAGUGAGUCGACGAUAAUGUGUAUAUAUACACGUGGACGUACGAGUGAAUUUGUGUAAAUUAAAUAUAUGCAUAGCUCAUAGGUCAAAGGGUAAAAAGAGUGAGAAGUUUUAAAACGUUACGUGAGUAGUAUAGAACGAAGAAAGAGUGACUGGUUAGCGCCGAACAUCCAAGGUGGUCAGUCAGCUCGAUGUCAGCUUGCUAAUUGGCAGCCAUGUCGCAUAGAGGCGCUCGUGUAGUGCGAGCCGGUUUUUCAGUGUUGGCCGGACUGCCUGUCUGACUGGCCUGCUUGCUUACUGUUCGUCGCGUAAUUCGUAAGCGGUUCGUCGGGCAUUCUCUUCGAAGGGUGGCAGGAGAGAAGGAUGUUAGAGGUUCGUCGUUUUCCUUUAUGCGUUAUGCGUAAUGCGUGGGCGAGUGAGCGCUGACGAGCAAGUAUGUACCUCUGCGCAUACCUACGAGCCGGCCGGAUCGCGUAGGACAGCACGCUGGGUGGUCCCUUCCUUUGCUUUUUCUCGAGUUCGCCUUCUUAUAUAGAAUACAAGAACGACGCAUUGGCACGUGACCCUUACGAUUAUCCGGAGUACCAUAUGUGCACGUGUGAGAACGGUAAAAGUAUUUCGAUGAAACAGUAUCUCAAUGUUGUGCGUCCAUAUGUUCCUGGCAGUUAUUAGUGAACGGUGAUUGGUUCGUCGCAGCCCACGUGACUCGGGAUCUUUGCUCUGAUUGGCUAAGGACUCGAGAGGAUAAAGAAGUCGCUCGGACUGUGUUGAUGUGACAAUGUAUUUGACUCUUGUUGCUAUUAAGAGAAAAAGGAUCGGACAGCUGACGUGAGUACAUAGAUUGUAUGAUGGAACGAGGCUUUCCUCGGCGAUGAAUUCACGGUUAUGUUAUGGCAGUCAGAUUUGUUACGUUAGCAAGAGAAACGGUCAGGUAGCGCUUAUGGUGGCACCCCCCUGCGGUGGGUCACGUUUUAUUAACAGCCCCUGUCCGUCUGUCCGUUCAUGGUCUCUGUCUGUCAGUCGGCAAGGUGGAUGACACCGGGUAGGUAGUGGUGGCGGCUAUCUGCACCACGGCUGACACCUGACGGAUAGCCUGGCGGCGGCAACACGGGAUAUUAAUUUGGUAAUUUAUGGGGGCCGAUUAGGCAGCGCUAUCUGUCGGGCUAAUGCGCGAGCCGUUGGCAGGUCAUCACCGAGUUCUCGCCGUUUCCCAAUCCUAGACCCUCUUGACGAUCCCGAGACCAAGAAGAAGGUGGCUGACAGUGAACUGUCCCAGUCCAACAGACAAGAAAAUUAUUUUCUCAUUUAUCCCGGACACGAACCACUUAGCAACGGUGGAAUUUUUAAAUGUUAAAUUUGACCAAGUCCGCUUAACCCAGAGUUAUGCCUUGCAAUAAGACUCAUGCAUAAUGGUAAAUCGAAGAAAACAUGAGUACAAUGCAGGGUCUCUAUCCUGGCCCGAUCGACCUACCUAACCAGGUUAUUUGUGACGUAUGAUAGAUGGGUGCACAAUGGCCGAGCACAUGCGUAGCCACGUGUAGGUUACGCGUAGGUGGAUGAGGAUGAAUGGCUCUCGUCAAACGGAAGGGACCUCCUGCUGGUUCGCACCAUAAUACUCGUCUCCGUAGUAAGUUAGCUUAUUGAUGACCUCACGGCUACUUACCUACAACAGAACAAGUAACGUCCUAUGCUCUGACUCCUUGGGUUACAUCGUGGCUUCCAGUUCCAGUCAACGGCGGAUCGUCGGACCCGUUAACUGCCCCUAGCGGCCCAAUUGCUGAACGAUAACACGUUGCACGCGUUAUCCGGCACGCAGUUCUCUUAAAACCUAUGUUAUUAAACAUCAUUCCUGGUGGAGCUCUUCAAAUAAACAGCGUUGGGCUGGCUAGGGUCGUCGCGCCACCAUAAAUUCACGGAUACGCAGGUACGCUAAUGAGACUGAAAACGGAUCGAUCUGCACAAUUGUAAAUAAUAUUGGAGAACCGAUAAAUCACCGAUUCAAGAGCUUUAACGAAGGACACAGAAAAACGGAAAGCGAAUAUACGUCGCUGCUGUCGGUUAUUUUGUAUCCAGAUAAUGAUUUGACUGAAAAGCCCGAAAUUUUGAUCAGGGCUCAGGACAGAGAAAGAGAGAAAAGAACGAGCGGACGUAUCUUCGAUGAAGUGGCGCCACGAACAAUGCCCGGCCACAAAUCAAAGGGAUUAUGUUACUAUUUCACGCAUAGGCGUAGAACUGACAUAAUAAAUCAGACUGCUGUUGGCCCACAAUAAACAAUAACGUUUGAACGGCUGGCUGGAUGGAUGCUGGCUGGAUGUCUGACUAACACGGUGUUUCUUCACUUAACAGAGAUGUCUCGGUGGCACUUGUUCCUCGUAACAAUAUUCUCCUUUCUUUACUUUUCCUUUUUUUCUCAUUCUCUUUCAAUUGAUCUCGCAUAACAGCCUCUCGUAAUCGAGCCGAGAGCCCCACUGGUAUCUCGACAGAUUGGAUCGGAUCGAUUGUUAACGAUCUGAUCGUAUAGGUUAGUAUAGCUCGCCGAUCUAUAAAACUGUUUAUCGCAAACACUGGGAGAUCGCAUCGGGCCAGCGAGCUUAGACCUACCGACUAAUUAUAGUCUCCUAUUUAUUUUAUUUACGCGCGUAUAGCGCUGCACCGGUCAUAAAUCAAAAUUCCAUUUCAACGUUCUAACGAAGGAUCAAAUAAAACACUUUAAUUGACGUUUUUACGGCGCCCGGCAGCCGAAGCCGAACUCCCUGCCUGGCUGACCCUCUACUUCUCUCUACGUAUGGAGGAGCCAGGGCAUAUAUCCAUUGGUACUUUUACUUUUGCCUUUGCUUCCACUUCGUCUUUCUUCCUUUUCUCUUCUUUCGCUCAACCUAUAGUCUCUCUCUCCCUCUCGCUCUUUCUCCCUGCCUAUACUUGCUCCUCCACUACCAUACCCCAGACUCACUGCCAUCCUCCGCGUGUCCGCGUAUCGCUUUUAUGAGAGUCUAGAUAUUAUUUCUUUUAUCCGUCUCCUUAUGCGAAACGUCAUCCUGAAACUUUCCACCGUUACGACUUUCACGUAGACUCGAGAUACCCCUGUAGAUCCUCCAGGAGGACUAAGGGACGAUAUCCGUUUCGUGGGUCUGGCCUUUUCAAUUAGUCCCGUAAUAGUAUACGCAUCUAUAACCAUAGGUGGUAAGCAAGGUACCAGGUAACGACUUUCAGUGCAUACCCCGUAUUAUACGUAAGAAUAGAUCCAGCCUUCUCGGAAGCCACGAGGAAUGAUCCGAUGAAUUUACGUGCUUCGGGUUCCCGUGAAUAUCGUAUCGACGGACUCACAUAAUCCGAACGUCGAUCGGUAAAAAAUACCGGUGAUUAUGCGCCCGGGAGAUGAGCGCGGCAUUGUUAAGGUGGAUCGCGUACGCGGCCAUUAUCGUAAUUUCAUGGUUUUUCGGGAGAUCCGGCGUAAACAUAGAGCGAAGCCACUUUAAUACUCGGUCCGAGAGGGCUCGAUCGAUAAUAAUAACGGAAUAUGCAGGUUGUCCCGACGCCAUACCGGUAUUAUAGUAAUUUCGUUUGGUCGGACUCCGCCAUGAGGCAUCUUAGGACCAAGAAUCCGCGUCCGAUCGCGCAAGCUCCGUCUUCGUCCUGCCAACCGACGAGGUCGCGGAACGCCCAGCUGGUACCACGAAAAAAUUCCCCAGACAGUUGGCAAUUUGGUAGCAGACCUGCUCCAUCCAAAAGGGACGAGGGACGCCGUUGGACCAGGGGGGGAAGGACAAAUAAAUAAGUAAAUAAAAGCAACAUGGAAUCCCUCUUGGCACCUUUAUUCCGAAGACCUCAUCCCGUAUCAGCCAGCUGGUCAUCACGUCGUCACCGUCAGACGAUCCCAUUGUCGUCAUUUUUGGGUUAUGGCUCUCUCCCGAGUAUGGGUUGGGUUAGGUUGAUUAGGUCUCAAGUUUUAUGAGUGGCGGCGCCAAGCGGCCACGUUUGAGGUCUAUCAAGAUCAGUAAGAAGGUGAAGUGAGCUCGGUACGAAGCUAAGGUGGGUAGAUCCACCUCGGAGACCUUCCUCCUACCUUAAGGAUAAUGAUGCCUCCUACCAACCAUCUUCCCGGACCCACUGCCUGUGGCUGGUCUUGGUACCACCCUUCAGAAAAAUACGUAUAAACACACAGUGCAUCAAUUUCCGGCACUCCGGCCAUCCCUUAGCCUCUUCUUCGUCCGGGUAUCUCCUAACCUUCUUCUUCAAUUUCGACAGUCCCUAACCCAAAGGCCCCAAAGCGUAGCCAAUAUUUUUUUUUCUUCUUCGUCUCUCUCUCUCUCUCUUCACCUUCUUUCUCUGCCCAGCCAGGAUUCUCGUUGUUUUGCGGUUUACGACGGUUCGCGUUACAACUGAUUAUUAACCCCCUCCAUUAUUAUAUGCGGCCAUAUACGGCCAUUAUGCCAGACCGAUACAACACAAUCCCCCGUAAUGCCGGCCAUAAAAUUAAAUUAGGGUUAUAACACGAUUUUUCACAAAGGUUCCGAGCUCGGCAGCCGAGCUACACGCUUUACUCUUUGGACUUUCGACUUUGGCUGUCUCUGUUCUCUCUCUCUCUCUCUCUCUCUCUCUCUCUCUCUCUCUCUCUCUCUCUCUCUCUCUCUCCUUUCGUUACUCUCGUAUCCCUCCAUAUUUUUUCUCUCUCCCACCCCUUGCUUCCUUGACUGUCUACACCUGCCCCAAGAUACCCUGUACCCUGAUGUACCCUGAAGGUACAUAUGUAUACUGAAUAACUUAACCUCACUUUUCUACUGAAUACCAAAACUACCUAUCUGUAUCAACUGUCAAUCAACGAAAAAAUAUACAUAUAUAUGAAAAAUAUCUUCGAUAUCGACAGAUGUCAAUUCCAAAGGAAUAAUAAUGAUAAUAGAAUCGAUAUAUGCGCUAUAACGUCUAUAAUUAUAUAUUACGUAUUAUUCAACGGACAUCCCACCAGUUAUUCCACUUUUAAUCGAUCCGACAUAGUAAAACGUCGAUGUCGAAAAUGUCAAGGGAAACUGCCUGACCAAACUGACUACAGUGCCAUCUACUCCGACGUCGAGCAGGUGGAUCCUCGUGACAAAUGGAGCCGGGACACCCGGUCGCGGGACAGAUAACUGACGCGGUGUAAUGAGCUGAUUGAUUGGCGGUGUCCGGAAGCGUCAUCGUUACACGGCCCUGACAUGUAGUCGGCCGUAGCUACGCCGACGCGUCCGUCAACGACGCGUACACUCGCGUCACUGUCAAUCAGAUACGUCGCCCGCCACCUACCUCCAACGGCUAAAACACCGGACAACCUCGGGCACGAGCUAUCGGUCGUCCCUCCGUAUACCCGUAUAUAUGCAGGAACUCCAUCAUUGUCGAGCGCUCUGCCAUCUGGUGACGAGUGUCCGCAACAGACAGCAUAUCAAAAUGCAUUCUCAACUCUUAACGCUGAUUCCACGUCCAAGCCUGUAUAAAUAUA
This is a long non-coding RNA of Cephus cinctus (wheat stem sawfly), 12580 nucleotides long. RefSeq lists it as uncharacterized. The transcript has 12 exons. The record is from RefSeq and is a predicted model, not a curated record. NCBI's taxonomy places the organism in Eukaryota, Metazoa, Arthropoda, Insecta, Hymenoptera, Cephidae.